CAACAAAGCUGGAGAAGAAGGGACGUGGGGGGAACAGGGGAAUAAAGGUCCACAGAGGAGGAAAGUAACACACAGGACCCCCGCAUCAUUUCACCUGGACACUUGGAGGAAGGAUUGGAAGAUCGAAGGAGGGAGAGGGGAGCCAAAGGUGACAGAGAACAGUGGCUGACACGCACUGGACAGGACUCCUUUAUUUCUCUUCAUGGUGGUUUGGACACUCGUAGUAUGUAUGAGAAGUUAACCAUGCUGAACCUGCAGAGCGGCUCAAACUGGAGUGGGCCUAACAACUGGUACCAUGACCCCACCAGUGUUCAAACACAACACAGCACAGUGUCUGAGGGCUGCCUGCUGGACACCGAGGGCAG
This is a long non-coding RNA of Larimichthys crocea (large yellow croaker), 365 nucleotides long. RefSeq lists it as uncharacterized. The record is from RefSeq and is a predicted model, not a curated record. The transcript has 3 exons. Lineage: Eukaryota; Metazoa; Chordata; Actinopteri; Sciaenidae.